Molecule: long non-coding RNA, 608 nt
Filed under: Phoenix dactylifera (date palm)
Lineage: Eukaryota; Viridiplantae; Streptophyta; Magnoliopsida; Arecales; Arecaceae
Description: long non-coding RNA (PDAC_LNC020622)
Source: RNAcentral
UUUGAUUUGGUCUAUUUUGACUCAAGUAUUAUAAAUCUCCGACUAUAAGUCUAUCUGAUCAACUGCCAAGAGGGAGUUAUGCACUUAGGUCUUUCAAAGACCCCAUAAUGUUUGUCCUACUCAAUAUGUAGAACCAUAGGAGGUGUGGUUCAAAAAAAAUGCUGUGUUCUUAACUUCUCUUUCUUUAUUGAAUCUAAUUCUUCCCUUUCCUCAUUGAUCUCCUCUCGACAAUUUUAGACAAUUUAAGCAAUUUGCCAAUUGAUGUUUGGUGAUUCAGAAACUUGAAGCUUAUGCAAACAAAAUUAUGUGUCAAGGUAUGUGGAAUUAUCUAGGUAUGUUGGAGAAAUUGGUAUUUUCUCCAAUAGAAGUAUUAUAUUGAUUCUUGUCCGAUCAUAUAGAAAUCAAUUGGCUUACUAAGCAAAAGAGGGUGCAUGGAGGGUUUUCACAUGUAGCAUCAUUUCCUAUCCAUCCCUUUUUGGUUGCAUACUAUCAUGAAGUAUCAGCUAUUUUUGAAAUACACAUAUUUAUCUUUGUUACCCACUAGAGGGACAACAUUUUAUGCACACACUUGACACUAUUCGAGUCUUAUAGCCAAAGUUUAUAGCCUU